Homo sapiens (human) is the source of this 2623-nucleotide RNA transcript. It is a transcript of the gene named gamma-glutamyltransferase 2, pseudogene, with no coding region annotated. The transcript has 15 exons. NCBI's taxonomy places the organism in Eukaryota, Metazoa, Chordata, Mammalia, Primates, Hominidae. The record is from RefSeq and is marked validated.
GAGCUUCAGCUCAUCUUUUUUGUCACCUGCCAUACCUUUGCCUCUAAGUGUCCCCCAGUUUUUAUUGCUGCCCUCUCCAUCCGCACCAGUGCCUCUCUCUGCCAGUUCCACUGUUCUCUCGCCUGCUCUUUAGGAUUUCCUUUGUUUUGCCUCCUUGCCUGGUGCUUUCAGCGAGCAGCGCUGACGUCAUCUCAGGAACCGUGCUGCGUCUGAGAGAAGAACCUGCAGUAGCUGUUUAAGUGUGCGGUGCUGGCAGAGUACCUCCCUGAAGGUGUCCUGGGGAAAGUGUGGUGUCAGCACAGCGGCAGGUCACCGUUCAGGAAGGACCCUUGUACCGCACGGAGGGCUCCCACAUCACUAUCUGGUGCAAUGUGAGUGGCUACCAGGGACCUUCUGAACAGAAUUUCCAGUGGUCCAUUUACCUGCCUUCGUCGCCAGAGCGAGAGGUGCAGAUCGUCAGCACCAUGGACUCUUCCUUCCCCUAUGCCAUCUACACCCAGCGCGUCCGCGGAGGGAAGAUCUUCAUAGAAAGAGUCCAGGGGAACCCAACCCUAUUGCACAUCACAGAUCUUCAGGCCCGGGAUGCCGGGGAAUAUGAAUGCCACACACCCAGCACCGAGAAGCAAUACUUUGGGAGUUAACAGUGCAAAGAUGAACCUAGUGGCAAGGCAAGUGAGGUGCUGCCGUCAUCCAGGCUGGACAGUUCAGUGAUUUGCCUGAGGCCCCACAGCAGGAGAACGAGAAGGCUGCCUGAUCAGAGAGUCUCUGAAGAAGAUUCUGUGGCUACAGGCUUCAGCAGAGUGUGAGGGAGACCCCGGUUAUUUCCUCAGCUGUUUCCACCAAAUCCUCCUGUCUUUCGUGGCCAACACCCCAGGCAAGGCUUGGGGCCCCCGUCUGCUGCUGGACGCAGAGCCAUGAAGAAGAAGUUAGUGGUGCUGGGCCUGCUGGCCGUGGUCCUGGUGCUGGUCAUUGUCGGCCUCUGUCUCUGGCUGCCCUCGGCCUCCAAGGAACCUGACAACCAUGUGUACACCAGGGCUGCCAUGGCCGCGGAUGCCAAGCAGUGCUUGGAGAUUGGGAGGAAAAGCUGAGGUCAUCAAUGCCCGCGAGGUGGCCCCCAGGCUGGCCUUUGCCAGCAUGUUCAACAGCUCGGAGCAGUCCCAGAAGGCACUUUAGGAGGCCAAGUCAGGAGGAGCGCAUGAGCCCAGGAGACCUGCCUGGACAACAUAGCAAGACUCCAUCUCUACAAAAAAUGGAAAAAAAAAUUAGCAGGAGGGCUGUCGGUGGCGGUGCCUGGGGAGAUCCGAGGCUAUGAGCUGGCACACCAGCGGCAUGGGCGGCUGCCCUGGGCUCGCCUCUUCCAGCCCAGCAUCCAGCUGGCCCGCCAGGGCUUCCCUGUGGGCAAGGGCUUGGCGGCAGUCCUGGAAAACAAGCGGACUGUCAUCGAGCAGCAGCCUGUCUUGUGGGGGCAUUGUGACAGCUGAGGACCUGAACAACUACCGUGCUGAGCUGAUCGAGCACCCGCUGAACAUCAGCCUGGGAGACGCGGUGCUGUACAUGCCCAGUGCGCGGCUCAGCGGGCCCGUGCUGGCCCUCAUCCUCAACAUCCUCAAAGGGUACAACUUCUCCCGGGAGAGCGUGGAGACCCCCGAGCAGAAGGGCCUGACGUACCACCGCAUCGUAGAGGCUUUCCGGUUUGCCUACGCCAAGAGGACCCUGCUUGGGGACCCCAAGUUUGUGGAUGUGACUGAGGCCAGCUCUGGGGUCUCAGCAGGUGGUCCGCAACAUGACCUCUGAGUUCUUCGCUGCCCAGCUCCGGUCCCAGAUCUCUGACCACACCACUCACCCGAUCUCCUACUACAAGCCCGAGUUCUACACGCCGGAUGACGGGGGCACUGCUCACCUGUCUGUCGUCGCAGAGGACGGCAGUGCUGUGUCCGCCACCAGCACCAUCAACCUCUACUUUGGCUCCAAGGUCUGCUCCCCGGUCAGUGGGAUCCUGUUCAAUAAUGAAUGGACGACUUCAGCUCUCCCAGCAUUCACCAAUGAGUUUGGGGCACCCCCCUCACCUGCCAAUUUCAUCCAGCCAGGGAAGCAGCCGCUCUUGUCCAUGUGCCUGACGAUCAUGGUGGGCCAGGACGGCCAGGUCCGGAUGGUGGUGGGAGCUGCUGGGGGCACGCAGAUCACCACAGACACUGCACUGGCCAUCAUCUACAACCUCUGGUUCGGCUAUGACGUGAAGAGGGCCGUGGAGGAGCCCCGGCUGCACAACAAGCUUCUGCCCAACGUCACGACAGUGGAGAGAAACAUUGACCAGGCAGUGACUGCAGCCCUGGAGACCCGGCACCAUCACACCCAGAUCGCGUCCACCUUCAUCGCUGUGGUGCAAGCCAUCGUCCGCACGGCUGGUGGCUGGGCAGCUGCCUCGGACUCCAGGAAAGGCGGGGAACCUGCUGGCUACUGAUUGCUCCAGGCAGACAAGGCUGACAAGCAAUCCAGGGACAAGAUACUCACCAGGAUGAGGAAGAGGACUUUGGGGGACGGGCUUCCCCUGUGAGCAGCAGAGCAGCAUAAUAAAUGAGGCCACUGUGCCAGGCUCCAGGUGGCCUCCCUGGCCUGUCUCCCC